This 18402-nucleotide long non-coding RNA is filed under the name Ananas comosus (pineapple). RNAcentral's name for it is "long non-coding RNA (ACOM_LNC026641)". Lineage: Eukaryota; Viridiplantae; Streptophyta; Magnoliopsida; Poales; Bromeliaceae. The record is from RNAcentral.
UUUGAUAGAUUGGAUUGUCGAUUCAAAAUGCAUGUUCCAGACAGUUUAUCUAAAAAUUAUGGCUAAAUUAUAUAAAACCCUCUUAUUAAUACCCGCUUUUUCACUUUCUCCUCUGUCGUUUAAAAAUCUAUACUUUACCCACUUGUAAAAUAAAAAAUGUUCACAGGGGAGUACGGUGUGAACUGUGAUGACAAAAUGACCAAUUUGCCCAUCAUUAUUUUUGUCUCCUCCCUCAUCUUACUCAUCCGUCGCCUCGAUCGGCGGCGAUUCGUGCCUCGAUCGGCCUCGAUUCUUUCUAUUUUCUUCUUCACCUGUUCCCCUUCUCCUCUUGCACCUUCGUCACCCCUCCAUUUCGGCAACAGUAGAGAGAAAAUUGAGGUGGUGUGGAUGGAGAGGUGGGCAAGAGCAAUGAGGGCUAAGACGAGGCAGCGGAGGCAGGCGAGGGGGUGUUUGUGGGCGAGGACGGAGAUGUAGGCAAGGGCGAGGCGGCGAGGCGGCAGGAGGGCGAGGUGAUAGGGGAGGAGGUUGAGAGUAUUUAUGGUUUAUAAAAUAUAUAAUAAUAUUUUAUAAAUGGAACCCUAACGGGGUACUAACUGCAGGGGGUGAAGUAAACAUUUUUUAUUUUACAAAGGGGUAAAGUAUAGAUUUUUUAAAUGACAGGGGAAAAGUGAAAAAGCGGGUAUUGACAGAAGAAUUUUUAGUUAUUAUAUUUACACUUUAAUCAAUUCCAUCCAUUAGAUCACACUAUUCAACCAACCACCCACUCAACCCUAGAGGGACCACCACUAAACCCUAGGAGACCACUAUCAUUCUAAAGCUACAAUUUUUUAUUCUAGAGUUAAAAACUUGAUUGCAAAAAAGGCUAAAUACUAUUAAUAGUAUUCUAGCCCAAUUUAAUCUCUCUCUAUAUAUACGUGAAGCCAGGAUGUUUAUAAUGUUCUUCGAGUCAAAAUUAUAAAAUUUAAUAAUUUUCACAUACUUUUAAUAGUAUAUAUCAAAUCUAACGGAGUCGAUCGUCCAUUUGGAUGCCUCCGUGCUACCAAAUUGUUUUCAAUGAUUCGGCAUCCAAAUCGACGAUCGACUCCAUUAGACUUGAUCUAUAUUAUUAAAAGUAUUUGAAAACUAAAUUUUAUAAUUUCUCGACAUUUUUUACCUAUCAAAUGAGUAGUCUAAAUAUGAACGGUUGAAAAUAAAAGUCUUGUAAAAAUGAUGAUAAAAUACUUGAAUUUAAGAUCCGAGGUACUGAUCUUACUCUAAAUAGUGAAAAUAAUUUUGUAUAAAAAUUUUAUCAGAUUUGGAUUGUUUUACACUGUUAAAUUCACAAACUCAUCACAUCGACCAUUAAAUUUGUUAAUUUUGAGACAUUUUGAUCACUAACUAAACAAUAUUAAAAAAUUAUAAAAUUUAAUUUUUAAAUAUUUUUAAUAAUAUAAAUCAAGUCUAAUGAAGCAGAUCGUCAAUUUAGAAUCCCAAUAGUUGAAAACAACUUUCCACCCAGUACUACAACCCGGAAAACAGCAACAAUAUUCGGCUGCUGCGACGUUACAAUCAACCCACGUGUUCCGGAAUUGUAUAUUCGCUAAUUAAAGGGAAUAAUCAAUAAUAGAAAGGUUCACCAAUAAACCUUGCAGUGGCCAGUAUCUAUCUAUAUCUAUUUAUACAGUAGGUAGGCGCUGUGCACAAGCAUGCAACUGUGGGCCACUUCCUAAGUCCUCAAACUCUCAAGUAUAGCUUCAAAUAAAAUAAGACGCCACUUAAAUUAAUUUAAUCAUAUUAUUAUUUUAAGAGGAAAAUUUAAUAAGAAAGCCACGACUUACUUUUGAGUCUCUUACAAUUAAUUAAGGAUAUAUAUAUAUAUAUAUAUAUAUAUAUAUAUAUAUAUAUAUAUAUAUAUAUAUAUAUAUAUAUAUAUAUAUAUAUAUAUAUAUAGAGCUAGGCUCCUAUGCUUUCGAAAGUACGGAGGCUUCCGUACUUAUAAAUUGUUUUCGAUGAUGGGACUUCCAAUUCGGUGAUCGGUUCCGUUAAAUAUGAUCUACGCUAUUGGAACUAUCUAGAAACCAAAUUUCAUAAUUUUUUGACUUUGUUUACCUAGUGAACGAGUAGCUUCAAAAUGAACGGCUGAAAAUAAAAAUCUCUUAAAAAACAGCGAUAAAGGACUCAAAUUUCAAAUCGAAAGUAUUGCCCUUGCUCUUGAUGCUAAGUAGAAUUUUUUAUUAAAGUUUCAUAUAAUUUGGAUACUUCUACACCGUUGAACUUAAAAACGUGCCACAUCGGCCGUUCAAAUAGUCAAUUUUGAGACCCUUUGAUCGCUUGGUAAAUGAAGUCGAAAAAUUAUAAAAUUUGGUUUCUAAAUAGUUUCAGUAGCGUAGAUUAUGCCUAACACAGCCGAUCGUCGAAUCGGAUGUCCUAUCAUCGAAAACAACUUACAAGCACGGAGGCCUCCGUACUUUCGAAAGCACGGGAGACAUACUAUAUAUAUAUAUAAGAAAGGCUACUAUGCUUUUGAAGCACGGAGCCUUCCGUGCUUUCAGGUUGUUUUUCAUGUUGCGACUUUCGAUCGUCGAUCAGCUCCGUUAACUUGAUCUAAGUAUUUGAAGUACUAGAAAAUAAAUUAUGUGAUUUUUUCGAUAUUAUUUGCCUAGUGAAGGAAGGGGCUCAAAAUCAACGGCUGAAAAUAAAAAUUUUCAAAACAUGAUAAUAUGACAUUAAAAUUUUAGAUCAAAAAUAUUGAUCUUAUUUUAUAUAAUAUAAAGAAUUUUCUAUCAAAAUUUCACGUGAAUUUGGAUAUUUCUACACCGUUAAACUUCCAAACGGCUCACUACGGCCAUUAAAAUUAUUGAUUUUUGAGCCCCUUCGAUCACUAGGCAAAUGAUAUCGAAAAAUCAUAAAAUUUAUUUUCUAGGUACUUCAAUACUAUGAUCAAGUUUAACGGAGCCGAUCGGCCGAUUCGAGAGUCGCAACAUCGAAAACGACCUGGAAGCACGGAAGGCUCCGUGCUUCCAGAAGCAUAGUAGCCUUACACUAUAUAUAUAUAUAUAUAUAUAUUAUAUAUAUAUAAUAUAUAUAUAUAUAGUCCGGUUACUAUACUUUUAUGAGUAUUGACUCCCUUAUACUCAUAAAUUUUCAGCCCUUAGAUUGUUUACAUUGAUCAUUUUUAACCGGUUAGAUCAUAUUAUUCAACUAAAUACCCACUCAACAUUAGGGAACCACUAUCAUUCUAAGUGGGACCACCAUCAUCCUAACACACAUUCACAUCAUCAUACAACGUUAAAAAUUUAUGAGACAAGAGAAUUCUAUACUUAUAAUAUAUAAAUAUACUAGAUUUUCACUCCGCGAUGCACGGUAAUAUAAUAAUAUACGAAUAUAUAAAAAUUAUUAUGUGAUAAUAAUAAAAAAUUUUCUAAUUAAUUUUCAUAUUUUUUAACAAAUAAAAAAAUAUACUAUUAACUUAAUUAUAGUACAUAUUAAAGUAUACAAGCUAUGAGAAAAAAAUUUGGACAAAGUAAAUAUUCAACUAAAAUGUAAAAUUCAAUCCUAGCUCUAUUAUCUAUGAAUUGUAUCAAAAAAUUUAUAUUUACCAUAUUGAUGGCGAAUAAAAUGAUAAUUAAAAUUGAUAUGAAAAUUACAAUGACAUUAAUAUUUAAGUUAUAUAAUGAGAUCAUACUAAACUUUCAUAUUUGACACAAAUUAGGAGUAAGCACCAUAUAUUAGUUCCUACUGUCGCUUUUAAGAUUUAAAAAUAUAUAGAUGUUGGUUUUCAAGAAAAUAUAAAGAAAAAAAAUUUUGUUGCAUGAAGAUGAAAGUUACAUGAGUGACAGAAGGGAAAAAAAUUACGAAAAUGAAAAUUACAGAGAAGUGACAGUAGGAAAUAAUAUGUUCUAUUUAAAGCAUCAAUAUUUAAGAGCGAAGAAAAUUACAGGAGUGAUGUGAGUUUUAAAUUUUUUUCUCUUUCCAAAAAUGCCUCUAUCUUUUUUUACUAAUAUUUUUAUGUCCAGAAAUUUUCAACCAAUCAUUUUAAAUAAUUAGCUAAGUAAUAAUUUAUUCCCAAAUAAAGAUAAAUAUUUUUCUUCUCACGCGUAAUAUCCGCACCGCCAAUUCUUUCGCAACAUAAUAUCCAUAAAUUUCUCAAAUAUCUCAACAUAAUUAUAGGUGACUUUGAAAUAAAAUUUUCUUCAUUAUAUGUGAUUUUUAAUAAUAUAGUAAAAGAUAUUAAUUUUUAUAAAAACGUGAGUUUUGAAUUUUUUCUCUUUUCAAAAAUGUCUCUAUCCAUUUUUACUAAUAUUUUUAUGUCCAGAAAUUUUCAACCAAUCAUUUCAAAUAAUUAACGAAGUAGUAAUUUAUUCCCAAAUACACAUUUAUAUCCUAUUUUCUAUCUUUUCUAAAAUAAAAUAUCUAUAUUUGAACUUUACACGUAGAUUAUUAAUAAUUUGUAACCAAAUAUUCAUAUUUGAGUUUGACACGUGGCAAGCAUAUAGAAAGCCACGUGUCAGCUUCUUACAUAGGGUUCAUUAAGGGUUCUACUUUUAUAUAUAGUAAUAGAUGUCAUGUUUGAACAUAUAUGUAUAUAUUGAGCAUGUUGAAUAGUAGGGUUAAUUGUGAGCUUUUAUUGCAUGAUUGUGAGUUUAAUUUUGUAUGAAAUACUUGUAAGAAUGUGAGAAUUAUAACCCUAUUUAUGCAUGACAAGUGACAAGAACCUAGAAAGGUUAGUGAACAAAAGUGACUCAUGGACAUAGAUCUAGCGAGUGACAUUAAUGAGUCUAGAACACUUAGAAAAACAAGUGUGGCAUUUGGCAUGAAAACAAGAACAUAGCACUUAGAAAACAAGUGUGGCAUGAGUACAAGAACUUGGUAGUGUAUAUGACACUAAAGUUGGUAAAGAAUGCAAAGAAAAGAAUGAUUGAGAUAUUAUGACAUUGCAACCUUAGAGUUAAGGGUCAUUGAGUAUGGUCUUCCUUAAAUUUAAGGAAUGGAUUGAACUUGGAAUCCUCAAUAUAGGAUUGAUUGUACUCACCUUUAGUCCUUGCUCGAGGGUGGUAGCUCCCCCUCGGGCAAUGUGCUCCGGAGUCGAUAUCACUGGGUUGUAGCGGGUAUCUCCCCAGAGGACAGUCCUAUCGGGUUGUAACGGGUAUCUCCCUGGUUAGUAGGAUUUUGGGUGGUGAGUUUGUUGAGGGCGAAACCUACGGGUUAGCCAAGAGAUUGGGUAAAGAAAUUGUGAUCUUGCAUUCAUCAUGAGCAUUAUAUCGAGCAUCACAUUUUAUAUUGUUCAGGCAUAUUAGUUGCAUUUGUUAGUUGGUUAUUUUCUUUCUUCUAUUCUUAUUAUGCCUGAUUAGACCUAGUGGGAUAGUCGGCGUGGUUGGUGCCGAACCCACUGGAAACUUUGUUGUAGUUCUCACACCCCUUUUUCCUCAGAGCCGGGACCCAGCGUGCCGGCGGACGAUCGCGGUAAGGGCAUCGCGCCCUAGGUAGAGACCGCCCGAGAUGUUUUAUUUUCAUAGUUGCAUACCCCUUAUUAUCAUCUUUUGUAUUUGAUGAUGUUAGUAUUGUGAUCAUGUUAAAAGAAUGAUGUAGAAGACUCCAUUUAUGUUAAAUGGAAAAAGGAUCAUAUUUUUGGAGAACUUGUGAUGUAUAAAAGAAAUGAUGCAAAGUUGUAUGAAAGUCGAAUGCACGUAUGUGAACUAAAUCUAGUCAAAUACUUGUAUGAUGAUUUAGUAGAUUCUUUCACUAUUGGCUAUUGCUUGCCCUCGUGCAAGCCAUUGUGUAUGUUUCCGCUUAUGCAAACUUUAUACUCUAUUAAUACUUGUUGUUGAGCCUUGGACGGACAGGGGAAGCUCUGUCCGUUCGGCGUCUGUUCGACGCUCUCGAACCGGCCAAAAGGAUCGGGCUCGGGGCGUGACAUGGACAGAAUAAAGUGCACAAAUCUAGCUAAAAGUAAAGAUGAAGAGAUUGCCAAACAUACCGAUUGCUCAUAUUCUUUAUAUCUCCUCUACAGAAUUAACUUUAUCAAGCAAAAUAAAAAGGUAUUUUAUACAUUGCAACAAAGCACAACGAUCCCAUCCAGAAGGCCGCUUUCUCUCCCUUGGCCUAUCCCGUGAAGUGCAAUUCAAACAAAAACAAAUGAUAUCGGGAAUAGUAAGAGAAAUUUAGUAGAGAUAGUAUCUCCCAGUAGGUGUAGGAGACAACAAUCACAGCAGUAACAAACAUUUAUUCAAAGUCGCAACUACUGAGCUACAUUUAUGCAGAUUAACUGAAAAGGACUAAUCUGUCGGGGUUCUUAUUCCCAUUUUCGUUUGUGCUUUCUUCAGGCUUGGACGGAGGGUUAAAGGAGCGACCGGUUGUGUUUUAUAUGCUGCCUCUCCACCAUCGUACCACCAGAAACAAAACCUCGUAGAACGGGUCUUGCGCUGGGAGCACUACCGCUUGGGGUUCUAUUAUUGCUCUGAGAACUCGAAGCGGCAGCAACAAAAUUGCAUUUGAACUGUUGCAUCAUCCCAGUCCUCAGCGAAUUAACAGCAGCAGAUCUACCUGGAGCUGGCUGAGAUGUUGCAUUUGACUCCUCGGGUUUAUAACCGAUUCCAAGGCCGUAAUCAACACCACGAACACCUCGCCUGCUACCACCGCCACCACCUCCUUUUCCUCUUCCUCCACCUUUUUUACCUCCUGAGAAAAUAUUUUCUAUGGUUAAGAACAAAUAUCGGAAAGCUGAGUUGACACUAUAUAGCAGAAAAUGAGUUAUAUAGCUGCAUAGCUGAGGCAAAAUGUAAGAAAAAUAUUUUGUUAUCUUAUAAACUAUAAUAUGCUUCAACAGCGUACACAUACCUGAACCUUUUCUUUGAUCACGUUUGGACCUGAACCUUGCAUCCUAUGAUUGAAAAAUCCAACUUAGAAGCCACCAUUUCACAAAAAAUAGCUCAUAUAACCUUUAUUUAAGUAUGUGCUGAUGGAAACUAUUAGAGUUCAUGCUACUCAUUCCAAUAAUAUUUAGUUUGAAGGUAACAACAGUAUAUUGAUCUGGAAAGAAUCACAGAGACGCUACAAAGCAUUCCAAUAUAAAAGAGAACAAGAAAGGGUUUUAUGACCAAACCACAGAAGAAAGAAAGGAAAGAGGGAACAACAAAAAGGAGAAUUAGUCGUGCAAGCUUUCGAUACGUAUACUGUGUGCAAAAUUAAGUAUAACGUUGCUCCGACAAAUAAUACAAAAGAAAAUGUAGUGCAGGCUUCUCAUCCUAAGGAGAAUGAAAUGCAGGAAAGAACAUAAAAAGAUAGGACUUAAUAGACCUCACCUUCAUAGCCAGAUCCAUCAAUUCGACAGAAACAUCUUGACCAGCAGCAAUCAAAUUGUUGACUAGUUCACCAGCAAAGCGUGCCUCCUUCUGCGUAAUAAGAGUGUAGGCCGUCCCAUCUUUAUCACCAGCACGGCCAGUUCUCCCUAUACGAUGGAUGUGCAUGUCCAUGUCUUUUGAAAUAUCAUAGUUAACAACUGACUUUAUCGACUUUAUGUCUAGCCCACGAGUGGCAACAUCAGUUGCAACUAGAACAUGGUAAAUCCCCGAUUUGAACUUCUGCAAGGUGUCCAUUCGAGAGGCCUGGUCUUUGUCCCCAUGCAGUGCCGCGACCUUGAACCCUUUCUGAACCAGCUGGCUUUCGAUUUCAUCUACUGUUACCUUUUUCAACGCAAAGACAAGAACAUCCCCAUCAUCAAUCAAUGACGGCAACUUCUCAAGCAGCCGAGGCAUCUUCUUAGAAUCAGAAGGAAUUACGUGGACAAGUUGGGCGAUGUCUUCGUUGGCCCAUCCAACCUCACCGACGGUAACCCUAAAAGGAUCUACAAGAAUUUCUCUAGCUAAGUGCUCGACUUUAUACGGCAUGGUCGCAGAGAAAAGAAGUGUCUGUUGGUCCGGUCUGAUUUGGCCAACGAUAGUCGUAUUUGCGGCUCGAACCCAAGGUCAAACAUCCGGUCAACUUCAUCGAGCACCAGGUAAGUUGCCCUAAACAUCUUCAAGGCUUUCAUCUUCAGCAAGUCUAUUAAUCUCCCUGGAGUAGCAACAACUAUUUCACAACCUGCUUUAAGAUCUUUAAAUUGGUCAUGCUUUGAAACACCACCAUAGACAGCGGCAACUCGUAGAUCGUGUAAGGCUUCGCAAACUUCUUGGCUUCUAGAUAUAUUUGAUGUGCCAAUUCCCUGGUGGGAGCACAUAUCAUGCCAAUUGGACCUUUUUCUUUUUCAAUUUCGGGCUGGUCCAUAAUGUGAACAAUCAUAGGGAGUACAAAUGCCACAGUUUUUGUAAGGUACCGUACUUCUAAAACUACGAAGUUACGGUGUACAUUUAAAUGGUUCCGGUGAGGUUGCGGUGGAAUGUAACAUACCGGAUUUUGAGUAUAAAGGUGAAAAUAAAUAAAAAUAGUAUGAGAUACUAUUUUAUUGGGUUUAGAGAAGUGAAAUAUAGAUUGGAAAUGACUUGUGCUGAAAUCGGAGCGAAAACAGAAGAUUUAAAAUUUUCUGUGAGAAACGGGGCAGAUAAAUUAGCAGAAAAUGCACAGUGUCAGAAAAUUAUGAAAACUGGAGGAUAUAUCAGAAAUAUUUUUAUGAGGCUAGAUUUAAAGUUUCAUACCAUUCUGACACCCGUAGAGUGAGAAAUAAAAUCCGACAGUCAUCUGAUAAAGGUUACAGUUCGGCACAGUUUUCGGUGACCAAACGGGGUCGAAACUGAAAACUUAAGAUAUAUUCUUACUCAGUACGUUAAACUGAAGCUGCCUGUCAAAUUUGAGCUCAAACGGACAUUCAGAAGGGCUCCAACGAAACUUAUCAGAUUUAGGGACUAAACUGGAAGGUUGAAUAGUUGAGGGGCUAACUUGUAAAAAGGGAUUAAAUCCCUUUCUUCUCCUUCCUCAGCCGAAUGCAACCCGCACACACACACAACACACACGCAUACAUGGAAAGGGUUNUAUAUAUAUAUUAUGCUGUCACACCUACAAUUAAGGACAUUCUAACCAACCUCACACCUACUGGAUCAUGUAGUCAAAAUUCAGUUGGUGUGUUUCAAUUCAAAUUAAUAUCUGCCAAACAAUCGAUAGCUCCGAAAACUUAACUUCUAGAAAAUAAUGUACUACAAAAGAUCAUUAUUUCUCAAAACUAGUCUUAGUACACUCCCCUACAUGGGUGUAGACGUGUUGAAACACGCCACAUAGACUAUCAAAAAUUAUAUGCCAAAAACUGGUGAAUGCAGAAAUUGCACCUAGGAUCUCAUGGAAUGUGAGGGCACUAGAACUCGGCUCUGAUACCAUAUGAAAAUUACUUAUUAUUUUUUAAGCAUAUGCUAUCAAAAGAUAAUAUUUUUCUUAUUCUUAUAUUUACCAUUCAAUCAUUUCCAAAAAAAAAAAAGAAAAAGAAAAAAAAUUCUUUUUGUGUGCUGGAUCUUUUUCACUGCUUACACAAGCACCUUCACUUAGGGUAUGUUUGUUUCAGCGUAAGUAGACUUUGGGUAGAAGUAGACUUUGGGUUGAAGUGGAGCUUGGGUGAAAAUUAGUUCAUUUCUGCUGUUUGUUUUUAACUGUGGAAGUGCAAUUCUGCGAGUUCUGUUGUUUGUUUGGUAGGAAGUAGAUGACGUAAAAAGUGUAACUCUUCACCCCCGGUAUGGUUGUCACGCCCCGGAUUACACUUUUUUCGGGCGCGCCGACAAAUCCGCCGUAUACAAAGGAAUUUUCUCUGUAUACGAAGCGAUAGCUGUACCUGUAAAUCAAACACUACUACGAACAGUAGUAGGGAGCUGCUAGAGAAAACAGAAGCUCAACCAAUACUGAGUAUUCAUUAUACAAUAGUCCAAAUCGAAAAUACCAAUAGCCUACUCGCCACUGCGAGUAGGUCCACUAUGUACAUUAAACUCGAAACACAAAACAUCUACUGCCAGUAGGAGGCCCUCUAGCCUCAGCACGUCGGGAGGCUCUAACUCGCGACGCCCCUUGCCUCGUAUCCUAUCCGCGGUAAGGCGCAGCAAGCGAAACCUGUGCGCUCUGCCAAAACAGGGCAGUUUAACAACUGUGGACGUGAACUACUGUAAAAAACAUAGUCUCAGUCGGGUAACCGCCCCAAACUAACAUCGGUCACCCACUAAGUCUACAGAAAGGCGAGCAAGAAUAGCCCAAAGCUAGGAAAUAAAACUCAACCGGCUACAACUACACUAUACUAUCAGGCUCUAGCAACUAACAAUACUGUAGGAAAUGUCAAAUCUGAACCAAUCAUCGGGACUGUAAGCCAUACCCGUCCACUGGGAACUGCUGAAUACAGCCGCAGUCCCUGCCCCGUUGUGACUAUCACCAGCUCUAUCCACACAUAACCUGGUCCGGGGAGAGCAAGUCAACCGCGGUCCCGAAUUGAGCGAUCACCAACCGGCGAAAGCACAAGCACUGACUCUCCGCGGUUCCAUAGUCGGCACUCUGGCGCUACCCACGGUACUGCAGCGAUAUCUCUGGUCGAGGCUCCAACCUACAGGCUUCCAACCUAGGCCAAAGUCAACGAUGAAACAGGGUACAACGAGUCUACAAACCAAACCACGUCGCCCUCGCGCACAAUCUGAUAGCCAAAACAAGAAUCUGUGGUCCAGCGCUAUCCCGUAACGGCACCCAACGACGCGAAACAGUCAAUAUACUCUGCUUGGAAAAAUAAGCUCGUGCAUCCCAGCACCGAGCGUAAAUGCCUUCUAACUAUCCCAGAGUAUCCAUCGCACUGACUCUCUUUUGCAACGAUCACAAUCGAAAGCACGGCUCCUAGAGCUAAAUCUGUCUAGUUUAAGCAUAUGGACGGCCUCAAAACGCAGGUUUUCUCCUAAGUCAAAUCAAGUCCACACAUGAUAUAAAUAAACAUUCAUUUCAGCAUUGCUUUAUAUUGCAUAUUACGUCCAAAAUGCUAAUCAGAUGAAAUUAAACAUGAUAGUACAAACAUCGACACUAUACACGUCGGCACUAAAUGCCCACUUAGCUCACAGCAAAACGAUGAUAACACCCACCUUGAGAGCAAAUCCUGGCAUGCAGAGAAGCGUCAGCUCAAGCCUGACGAAGCACGCCUGCUGGAACCAUUCAUACCUAGCCUUACAGCCAGCAAAGAUCGAAAAAGUAGGAUCCUAGACAUCACACUCACACAACACACUAACAAAAUUCAAUUUCCUAACUUAUGCUAUUUAUCAAUUUCAAUGUCAAAACUACACUAAGUGGAGCUGCCAAUUCGGUGUGAGCGGACAGAUCCAAAUCAGCAAACUACUGACGGGCGUCAAUCAUAACUCAGGUCGCAAAAUUCCACAGCUGCAACAAACGAUAGCCAUGCAAGAAAAACUCAGAAAAUCCAUUUUCGCUCAAAGCCAAAUAGCCAGUCCAGAAAAAUCUCAAUAUCGAUCUCAAGCUAACCUCAAACCAAAUCUGCCAUUCAGGGUUCGUGGAUUCCUCUUGCGAAGUCUAGAAUCCAGCAAACCAAGUUUCGUCGCAAAUCCGACCUUCCUACGAUUCAGACGGCACGAGCCAAAACACUGGAGCUCGCGGCGUCGAAUCGCUGGAAGGAACUGCAGAAAUCAGUACCAUCAAGCUGGAUUUCAUGGAAAGUUUUGAUGCACUUUGAGGGCAACAAUCGAGGGUAGCAGAUGCUAAAACGAGGCUUCUCUGUGAAAGAAAGGUGAUGGAAUAAGAGCUCACCGGAACACUUCCUCAGCUAUUUAUAAGCGGUGAAAAAUAGGAUCACAUGAACCUAAACAAACAAAGCUAAUGCAAUCUGCACAUUCCAGCACGCCAAACUAGGUCCCUGCAGAAAACUGGCGUUUGGGCCGCCGGAACCAUGUCUGGCGCGACCAGAACAAUUCCAGCCUGCACAAACGGGGCUCCUCGGACUCUCGCUCGCGCGUUGCGCUUCGCCGCCGGUGAAACGGCUCCGGCCCGUUAACUAUCCUACCACUCUGCCACUGCCGUCAAGCAAGGCCGAUAUUCACGAUGUCGAAUUCCGGACCCACUUCUGGUGCGCCCGGAACUUGGGAUCCGAAUUGGCUGUCCAGUUUCAGCUUAAAUUCAACUAAUCGUUUCUGGGCCGAACUAACAACCUUGUUCUGGGCGCCGAAUCUGGCAAAUAACUCCAGUUUUUGCUUAUCUUUGGAAGUGCGCCGAGUUUCCAAUUCUGCAUUUCAAUUCGGUGCCAACGAAUUGACUCCGACUAUAGCUCCGACAGCUCGUCCAGAAUGUCGAAAGUCUUAUAAUUACUGAAGCCAUCCUAUCCGAAAGCUCGCACAGAAACUACAAUAGCUUACCUCUGAAGUAUCUAUUGUCUAUUUUGGUAACUUUAGUAGAUAAUAAAUUAUAAGUAAAAAAUUAAUAUAAUAUAUAUAUGUAUAAUUAUAAAAUAAAAUUUUAAAAAAUUAUAUUAUUUGUUUGCAUAUAAAUUAUAAUAAUGCAACAAAUAAAAUUCUAAAGUUAAAAAAUUAUUAACAUUUAACAAAUUCAUUUUUCAUCAUUUUCUAAAUAUACAUAUUAAACAAAAAAUAUAUUAAAACUUACCUAACCAAAUUUGAUCAUAUUUUAGACAUACAAUCCAAAUAAAAAAUUUAAUUACUUCCAUAAUUGAAUAUAUUUGGAUGAAAGGGUAGAGAGGAGGUAACCCUAACACAUUAAUCCCACUCUUGCCUUUUUUUCACUUCACCGGAAUUGACUUCGCCCCGUGGUAGGGCGAAGUCAAUUUCAUUAUUUUGGGUGAACUGGACUUUCGGGCGUAAUAAAAUUACGGUGAACCAAACAACGGAAGUGGGCAGUUUUCACCGAAAAUUACUUCUCUCUUCCCACUUCCACCCCACUUUCGUGCAAACAAAAAGGCCCUUAAAGUAUGAAUAUUAUUGAAUUUUGAGAGAGUUGAUACUACCAAAAUACUUUUCAUUAUUAUAGAAGCAAAAAUAUUUAAAUAUCAAUUUGAUUCUAUGAAUUUACCUUGCAUUCUCAAAUAAAUUCCUAACAAUAUAAACUUCCGAACUAUGAUACUGUUUUGAUCAUAAGAGAUUAAUAUGUUUUGUAGCUUUAUAGACAUUAGAAAAGAGUCAAUGUCGAGCCACAAUCUGAAAGAAAUAUUGUUACACUACAACAAAAAUGGUGUAUAGCGACACUUUUAAAUAUUGGUAUAGGUCAAAAAAAAAGUACUGCUCCCUAAAUUACCGAUACUUUUUAAAAGUGUUGCUAUAUGUGGGGUCGCUAUAGGUAGGGCCGCUUUGAUAUUCGGCAUUUACUCCAGCGACCUGUGGCGGAGGGAUAUGUGGCGGUCGUAGCCCUCUACGGUCCCUGCGAGAUCCUCGCGGUCGAACUCCAGCCGCCGGAACCCUAUCUCGUCGGCUGCAGCGGCGGAGGACGAGAAGGGGAGAUGGUGAUCAAUUUUUCUUUUUUUUUUUUCCUUUUUUAUUGUAAUCGGGCCGAGUGGGCUGAGUGUGGUUAGUUGAGUAGAGUAACGUUUUAUUUUUUAUUGGAUUGGGCUUUAUAUUUAAGUCUUAGUAGAUUUUUAAAAAAAUUUUGGCAUAAAUGGGACACUUAUAUAAAAGUGUCUCAAGAAUAUGUCCCUAUAGCCGAAUUCUGUUGUAGUGUUAAUGUUUCUCAUAUUGCUGCGAGCCGAUCUUCUUUGAUCGCUGGUUUGGUCAAAACACUCCUUCGGGAAGCGCACUAGGAGGAUAAGCGGCUACGAAUAAUGACCCUCGAAACUUGCACCCGCUGUCGGAUCAAGUGAUUCGGCCGAUGAGGGAUUGGAUCAGUCAAGUUCAAUUCACACACUAGGCUCGGUUCGGCCGGAUCAGCUAUGAGGUAAUGAAUCCUUGAUGUGUAAACCGAAUCUUGGUCGAAAUUGACUGAAGUGUGAUAUUGGACACUUUAGAGAGGUCCGUAGAGUGUUUCGAGUGAUCGGAAUGACUUACAAGGGUGUAAGGGACCAAAAGAGACCUUGUUUGGUGAAUUUCGAAAAUUUUCAAAUUUGUGGUGCUCUCGGGGUCCGGACCCUACAUGUAGGGUCCGGACCCCGUACAUGGGAAAACGUGAAAAAUUGCAAAAAGGUCAUUUGUGUGACGGGCUAAGUGCAUUGUGCAAGUGGGAGUGUAUAUAGAUGGGUUUUAUCCCAUUUCUUCACAUUUCCCCUUCACACCCCAACAAAAGAGAGUUCUAUUUCUCUCUCUAAACUUCUCUCUCUCUCUCGUAGGGUUUGAUCCAAGAGGAGGAGUUGGUAGAGAAAGGUUGCUUGGAGGUGAAGCUACCAUCUUCUUCUUCAUUUGGCUUGAGGAGAAGCUUGUGUUGGAGGUAAGCUUCAUGUGAUUUAGUGGUUUGUAGUUUGGGUUUUGAAAUAAUCCCUUAGAAAUGAGUUAAAUGGAAACCAUAGGUGAUGUUACACUAGAUUAUUGCAUGAAUCAUGAUUGUUAUAUGUAUUCUUGCAAUAAUGGGUUUUUAGGUUUUCUAAAGAGGGCUUUUGAUCAUAGAAGGGUUUGAUCUAAAUUGAGCCUAUGUAAACUUAAUUGAAGGUAAAACUGACACGGUGGGCAACUCGAAUUGAAAUUCCUACGGACGUGCGGCGAGUCGUUGAAGAAAAGUACACUUUUCGGUUCGUUUGUGUUGGGUCGAGCCGAAACGAUGCUCAUAAAUUGCGAGGCUUGAAUUCUCGCAUCGCGGCAUCACCAAGAGAUGGGGGGUGCUAUCCGAAAAAAUCGGAUUUCCUUUUAUGUCUAAGUUGUUAUUGUUGAGCAUUUAUACUCAUAUGUUGAUAUCAUGCAUUGUAGGAUAUAUGGUUAGAUGUAUUUCAAUUCCUUGUAUGCUUCCAUGGUAAAAAUAGAAAUUGUGAGUUGGACACAUGAUCUAGUGGAUGCAUAAGGAUUGUGUCUUGACAUGGAAUCCUAUAGUACUAAGAACAAGUGAUGAACUUGAACAAGUAAAUAACAUAAAAGAAUGGCAUUUGGAAAUAGUGUAGUAGUGGCACUAUGUAGCAUACCGAUUUUUUUUUUAAUAAAAGUGAAUAUAAAUAAAAAUAGUGUGAGAUACUAUUUUUAUUCGACUUUUAGAAGUAAAUAUAAAUUGGAAAUGAUCUGUGCUGAAAUUGGAGCGAAAAUAGAAGAUUUAGAAUUUUCUGUGAGAGACGGGGCAGAUGAAUUAGCAGCAAAUGUACAGUGUCAGAAAAUUAUGAAAAUAGGAGGAUAUGUCAGAAUUAUUUUUAUGAGGAUAGAAUUAAAAUUUCAUCCCAUUCUGAGACUCGGAAGGUGGAGAAUAAAAUCAAACUGCUAUCUACUAAAGAUUACAGUUCGGUAGAGCUCUCGGCGACCAAACGGGGUCGAAACUGAAAGAUUAAAAUUUUUUUCGUUAAGUUAAGUAAAACCGAGCAUGACUGCCAAAUUUGAGUUCAAAUGGACAUUUAGAAGGGCAGGCGAAAAAUAUCUGUACCUGAGCUACAAACUGAAGUGAAUAGUAUUUUGGGGAUAUAUAUAUAUAUAUAUAUAUGUGAACUUGUACUCUUUUCUCAUUUGUGCCCAACCCAAGAGAGGCUUGGAGAGCAAGCUUCCUUUCUCUCUUUCUCUCUUUGUCUCUAUGACCUCUAUUUCUCUCUACCAAAGAGAGGAUUGGAGGAGAAAAUUGGAGCAAGCUUGAUAGAGAAGAAAGCUUGGAGUUGAAGCUUCAUCUUUAUCUUCAUCUUCUCCUUCCUUGGUCUAAGAGGAAACUUGAGAGGUAAGCUUCAUAGGGUUUUAAUGGUAGAAUUUUGAAGCCUCAAUUAUAUGCUCUAGGAAUGAGUUUAGAGGACUCCCUAGAUGCUAAUAACAUGUUAAUUGCAUAAAUCAAGUUCCAAUUUAGUGAUUUCUUGCAAUAGUAGCAUGUUAGGGCUCAAAAUAGGGGUUUUGCUAAUAAGGGGGUUUGAUCUAAAUUCAGCCUGUAUAGACCUAAUUGUUAGGUAUACGAACGCGCUGGCAAAGUCGGUUCGGCGAUACGACGAGGCUUCGCGAAGAUAUUGAAGAAAAGGCCGAUUUCGGUACAGAUUGCCGCAGCUCGCGGCGUGAGCUUCCUAAAAUCACGAAACCGGAAUCAUAGCAUCGUGAUAUCACCUAAAGUCUUGGAGCUAAGAGAAUCGUGGGCACGAAGGGUCGCGUGGAGCUCUCGGUGGGUUUGACCUCGCUACAAAUGAGAAAAUCUCAUUUAUGUGGAUUUAAGUAUCAUAAAAUGAAAAAUCACGCAUUUUCAUGGUAGAUGCAUUAUUUGUGAAUUUUAUAAUGCUUGAAAUGCUUAUGUUACAUACAAUACAUUUUUGGACCUCUAUGUAGUAGAGAGUUUUCGUGUUGGGCUUUGCCCUAUGAAUAGCAUUCUUAAUUGUGGCUUUGGAUCGCGUUGCAUUUAGUAAAUAUGACAAGUAUAAAUGCACAUGUUAUAUACAAUGCAUUUUCGAACCUCUAUGUGGUAGAGAGCUUGCAAGUGAGAUUUAUGCAUGGGUUUAGCAUUUUAAUUGGGACUUGAAAUCAUGCUCCAUAUAGUAGACAUGACAAAUGUAAUAUGCCUUGUACAUAAAUCUGAUUUGGACAUAGGAAAAUACAUUAGGCCAUAAAGUGGCUUUGGACUUGAAUAACUUGUGAGUUAGGGAGCUAAUGUCGUAAUGCGACAUCGGGCUUGAGUUAUGAAUGAGCCUAGCAAAGUAAGGCCAUAAAGAGGCAUUAGACUUGAAUGAUAUGUGAAUUGUAUGUGCAUGGUAAUUUUAUGAGAAUUAUGCUAAGUUGGUAGUUGUAUUGGAAAGCGUAUGCAUGUAGUAUUAUGAGAAUUAUGCUAAGUUGAUAGUUGCAUACGGACGCAUUGAAACCAUAUGCUAGUGGAUAGAUGCAUGUUAAUAGUUAUAUGCAUUGUGGAAUACAUGCUAGGUACAUAUUAGCAAUAUGAAAUNGCCUAUGUGGGGUCCCGAUGACGGCUCCCUACGAAUCGAGAUGGCUCGCCAGUAGAUUGGGUAAUGUACUCACGAGAAUUAUGCAAAUUAGGCAUGAGCGGUAGUCGAGUCCUAGUAGAGUGGACAUUAGGCUGAGGUGCGAGUGAGACGUCCUUCGCCUCGAGCCUAGCUUGUGCGGUACUCCGCAGUCGAUUGACUCAAGACCGAGUUGGGCGGUUAGCUUUGUAAAGGUAGAUGAAACUUUAUGACAAAGGCGGUAAAGGACAGAAAAUCUUAAAUGUCAAUUGGAUGAAAGUAGUAAUCGAUUGAACUACUAGUUGGUUGUAUAGUUGCAUUAUUGCAUGAUCUUCAUAUUGCAUAUCACGAGGCAAUGCAUGGUAUUGUUAGUUGCAUAAUCCUAUUAUCAUAUAUAUCUGUUUAUUGAACUAACCUGCAGUUGCCUCCUUCGGACCUGUCGGUCGAGCUUUUCCCUUGGGUGGCCGUACCCACUGGGAACUAUGGAGUUAGUUCUCACCCCACGUUGCUUUUGGGGUGUUACAGGUUCACACGUGAGCGGCGCGGCGGCGCGAGGUGAGGGCGUAGCUCCGUAGAUAGCGCCCUACCACCGUGACCAGAGAUAGCAGUACCCAAGUCAGCCAAGUUAGGGGUUGUAGAAAAGGAAAGCAAAAUGAUCAAACUUGUAAUAAUCUUGUGAUGAUUGAUUGUAUUCGGAAGUUUAAAUGUAUUUGAAAGGAAAAGAAAUGUAAAUAAUAUCAAGUGAAUGAAUGUAAUAACUUAGGAUGUGUUUAUGUUAUUUGAUACCUUCCUUAUGCAAUCGUUGUAUGUUGAAUACUGUUCCUGGUUGGAACCUGUUGAUUGCGACGUCUAGGACGUACAGGGGAAACUCUGUCCGUUCGGCGGUCUGUCCGCGUGCCGAACCUGACCAAAUAGGCGGGGCUCGGGGCGUGACAAUUUUACCGGAACCUGUUUUUGCAAUGCCAAUAAUAUCUCUACCAGACAGUACUAUAGGUAAAGCUUGGCACUGUAUUGGUGUUGGCUUUUCAUAGCCCUGCUUGGAAAUAGCAUUCAUCAAAGCAGUAGAGAACCCACAAUCUUCAAAGAGUUUGAUUGGCUUUGAUACAUCAAAACCAGAAACACGAAUUCCUAAGCUUUUCCUGUAAUCUGCGACAUCCUGUUCGCUCAUUCCUAAAAUCAACAAAGAACCACAUUUAAAAUGCAUCCGCGAUCCAUUUCGACUUCCAUACUGAAAAUGAGGACUAUAUUUUACCUAAGAAAUUAUAACAUCAAAAGUGUUGAAUGUCGAACGUAUUACACAUCUAAGACUUACAUUAACAUGUAACAUCGUGUAUUCAUGUGGACAACAAAAUGCCAUGUGGAAGUAGUUCCAGGUUAUGUUACUACUUGCUAGUAAGUAAUUAAACAGUUCGUGUGAGUUAUGUACGAAUUUCAUACUUUCCACGACCUGUUAAUGUUAAACACUUCAACCUUUUACAAGGUUAAAAAAAAAU